CCUACGGGAGGCAGCAGUGGGGAAUAUUGCACAAUGGGCGAAAGCCUGAUGCAGCAACGCCGCGUGAGGGACGACGGCCUUCGGGUUGUAAACCUCUUUUAGUAGGGAAGAAGCGAAAGUGACGGUACCUGCAGAAAAAGCACCGGCUAACUACGUGCCAGCAGCCGCGGUAAUACGUGGGGUGCAAGCGUUAUCCGGAAUUAUUGGGCGUAAAGAGCUCGUAGGCGGUUUGUCGCGUCUGCUGUGAAAACUGGGGGCUCAACCCCCAGCCUGCAGUGGGUACGGGCAGACUAGAGUGCGGUAGGGGAGAUUGGAAUUCCUGGUGUAGCGGUGGAAUGCGCAGAUAUCAGGAGGAACACCGAUGGCGAAGGCAGAUCUCUGGGCCGUAACUGACGCUGAGGAGCGAAAGCAUGGGGAGCGAACAGGAUUAGAUACCCUGGUAGUCCAUGCCGUAAACGUUGGGAACUAGAUGUAGGGACCAUUCCACGGUUUCUGUGUCGCAGCUAACGCAUUAAGUUCCCCGCCUGGGGAGUACGGCCGCAAGGCUAAAACUCAAAUGAAUUGACGG
RNAcentral lists this ribosomal RNA (568 nucleotides) under uncultured bacterium. RNAcentral's name for it is "bacterial SSU rRNA". It matches the Rfam family "Bacterial small subunit ribosomal RNA", at positions 338 to 916 of the family's 1533-position model. The record is from RNAcentral.